Molecule: non-coding RNA, 443 nt
Organism: Aegilops tauschii subsp. strangulata
Lineage: Eukaryota; Viridiplantae; Streptophyta; Magnoliopsida; Poales; Poaceae
Source: RefSeq, a predicted model, not a curated record
ACUUAUCAUAUACUCUCUGGCGCGAUGGCAGGAGCGCAUGAUAGACUACUAAAUGGACAAGUAUCUGCAACGUUUAGCGUCAAAGAUGAUGCUUACCAGAUGUUCUACAGCAGCCCCAUCCAUAUCAUCGGCAUGAAGUUAGAUUUUGGCCUUCAUUCGUCAAAAGUUUGUGUACAAGGAACUCCAGGAGAAGAAUCUUUAAGUAAAUAAUUUAUAUAGAUCAGGAUCUUAUGUUUUCAAGGUGGCUGCUGCUGUGACCAAAGAUCAGCCUGGAGAUGUGCAUCAUAGUCUUAGUUGAUGUUGCCACCAUGUUUUGGUGCCUGUGUAUUUGAUUGUAUGUACACAUGUUAUACUGUAGAGCUUGAUGCUCAUCGGCUCAUGUGACAUAUUGUACACCUGUAGAGCUUGUUAUACUGUGAUCGCAUUUGUAUGUGUUGAUGUAA